RNAcentral lists this non-coding RNA (168 nucleotides) under bacterium. Its description in RNAcentral is "6S RNA". It matches the Rfam family "6S / SsrS RNA". From Rfam's summary of the family: E. coli 6S RNA was the first non coding RNA to be sequenced, but its function was unknown until recently. It consists of 184 nucleotides that fold into an extended hairpin structure with a large single-stranded internal bulge. The record is from RNAcentral.
UAUUCCCUGCUGUGUUUGUUAUAAGUUUGGUUAUUUUGAGCCAACAGUAAGAAAAUGGGAGUUCGCAUUUGGUGGGAUAUGCAAUUGCAUUGAACAUUUAAGAGAGCACCCACGUGGCCUUAGCGGCUUCAAAACGACCCUAUUUAGACGGCAUUUGGCGGGGAAUUU